RNAcentral lists this transfer RNA (75 nucleotides) under Mycobacteroides abscessus subsp. abscessus. RNAcentral describes it as "tRNA-Phe(gaa)". It matches the Rfam family "tRNA". From Rfam's summary of the family: Transfer RNA (tRNA) molecules are approximately 80 nucleotides in length. Their secondary structure includes four short double-helical elements and three loops (D, anti-codon, and T loops). Further hydrogen bonds mediate the characteristic L-shaped molecular structure. tRNAs have two regions of fundamental functional importance: the anti-codon, which is responsible for specific mRNA codon recognition, and the 3' end, to which the tRNAs corresponding amino acid is attached (by aminoacyl-tRNA synthetases). tRNAs cope with the degeneracy of the genetic code in two manners: having more than one tRNA (with a specific anti-codon) for a particular amino acid; and 'wobble' base-pairing, i.e. permitting non-standard base-pairing at the 3rd anti-codon position. Lineage: Bacteria; Bacillati; Actinomycetota; Actinomycetes; Mycobacteriales; Mycobacteriaceae. The record is from RNAcentral.
GGCCAGGUAGCUCAGUUGGUACGAGCGUCCGCCUGAAAAGCGGAAGGUCGCCGGUUCGAUCCCGGCCCUGGUCCC